UGGGGAAUCUUGGACAAUGGGGGCAACCCUGAUCCAGCCAUGCCGCGUGAGUGAUGAAGGCCUUAGGGUCGUAAAGCUCUUUCGCCUGUGAAGAUAAUGACGGUAGCAGGUAAAGAAACCCCGGCUAACUCCGUGCCAGCAGCCGCGGUAAUACGGAGGGGGUUAGCGUUGUUCGGAAUUACUGGGCGUAAAGCGCACGUAGGCGGACCAGAAAGUUGGGGGUGAAAUCCCGGGGGCUCAACCCCGGAACUGCCUCCAAAACUAUUGGUCUAGAGUUCGAGAGAGGUGAGUGGAAUUCCAAGUGUAGAGGUGAAAUUCGUAGAUAUUUGGAGGAACACCAGUGGCGAAGGCGGCUCACUGGCUCGAUACUGACGCUGAGGUGCGAAAAGUGUGGGGAGCAAAACAGGAUUAGAUACCCUGGUAGUCCACACCGUAAAACGAUGAAUGCCAGUCGUCGGGUAGCAUGCUAUUCGGUGACACACCUAACGGAUUAAGCAUUCCGCCUGGGGAGUACGUCGCAAGAUUAAAACUCAAAUGAAUU
Molecule: ribosomal RNA, 541 nt
Filed under: uncultured bacterium
Lineage: Bacteria
Description: bacterial SSU rRNA
Rfam family: Bacterial small subunit ribosomal RNA
Source: RNAcentral